UGCAGCCGGGGAGUUAGCGGUGCCCUGUACCUGCAAUCCGCUAUAGCAGGGGUGAUGUCCGGUCUAGGGUUCGUAGCUUGGGAGCUGCCCUUUUAAAGGGAUGCUGACGUCCGGGUCUUACGCAACAGAUAUUUGUGAACCGUGUCAGGUCAGGAAUGAAGCAGCACUAAGCAAAACCAUCUGUGUGCCGUGAGGGUGCCUGGAUUGAGUCUGCUUGAGAGGUAACGUCCUGGGAUAUGGAUUCGAAACAGGGCGCACG
This 259-nucleotide signal recognition particle RNA is filed under the name human gut metagenome. RNAcentral describes it as "Bacterial large signal recognition particle RNA". It matches the Rfam family "Bacterial large signal recognition particle RNA". From Rfam's summary of the family: The signal recognition particle (SRP) is a universally conserved ribonucleoprotein involved in the co-translational targeting of proteins to membranes. Archaeal SRP consists of a 7S RNA and homologues of the eukaryotic SRP19 and SRP54 proteins. The record is from RNAcentral.